CUCUUGAAAACAAAUAGGGGCUUGUGGCACCAUUCGUCCUAACAUAAUCAGUUUCCCCAAGACCAAGGUAAACAACAUGACAAAGACAGCAGAGAGGGGACCAUACGUUGGAUCAGGACUGACAAGCUGCUUUUUGUGAAAUGGAAGGACACUAGGGAAUUAACCAUGCUCACCACACAACAUGAGGUAUUCAAUAACUACCAAUGUCUCAAGGAGGGUGAAAAGUGCCAAUGGGGCAUGGGGGAGGAAGAAUGUCCCUAUUCCUGUUUCUGUGAAGGACUACAAUGCCAGCAUGGAGGGUGUUGACCUAUCUGAUGCUCUGAUAGGCUACUACCAGGUCCUCCACAAGACCAGGAAGUGGUAUAAGACUUUUUUCUUACCACUUUGUGGACAUUGCUACAGUAAAUUUUUUCAUUCUCCACAAGCAGAUGGCCAAAGCAAAAGGUCAAACCCCUCUCUCCCAGUUGGCCUUCAGAGAGCAGCUGGUGUUGGAAAUUGCUGAAUUAUGGGCCCAGAGCAACCUCACAACCAUCACAAGACCCCCCACUCAAGAUCCCAUCAUCCGCAAACAAUGAUCUCCAAAUUUCAGGUCUCACCUGGGAGAAUACAUCAUCAAUCAUAAUGGAGAACAAAAAAGGACUAAUGACACUUCCCUGGGGGGUACCAUUAUCUACCUCAUAGCUUUCUGACAUAGAGAUCCCCACCCUGACUUGUAUUGAUUGCCCAAAAAGAAAAUCCUUUAUCCAGUUAAAAACCCUUCCUACAACCCCCAUGUUAUCCAGCUUGAUAAGUAGGCCUUCCUUCCACAUCAUAUCAUAAGCCUUCUCUACAUCAAAGAAAACGCCUCCCACCACCUCUUUAUUUGCCUGUGUCUUCCGUAUGACUGACUCAAGGCACAGUACAGGAUCUAUCAUUCCCCUGCCUUUCCUGAACCCACUUUGAUCUGGUGACAUUAGUCCUCUACUCUCUAGAACGAAUCACCUGCCUUCAUCUGACUUGAGAUCAACCUGAGAUGGCUCCUGUUCACUCAACUCCUCAUCAUCACUACUCUCCUCUGACAAGUCCUGCGAAGGCUCCACAGUCUUGGAUUAAUUUCCAAAUAGGCUUUCUUUCUCCAACGACUCAUGGCGGAGGAUAAGCACAGAUAGAACAAUGAGACCGAUAUUUGGUUGGCGUUUCCACUUACUACCAAAUAUGGUGGUGAGAGGAAGCACAGUGGUCGGCAGUGGGGCAAGAUAGAUUUUGGCCGACAUUCGGCUAAUUUUGUAAUCGAUUAAUCAUUUGAUCUCAGUACAGUUUUCUGUUUCCAAAACUAGAAUAUGUUACCAACAGAGUGGACUACGUUUUUUAGACUUUACCCUUUGCCAAUUUUUUAAAAGAUUGCGUUGUUUGAAAGGACUGCAAGGGCAAAUUGAGUUAUUGCACAUGCGUACUUCAUAGAGUAGGCGUUUCCCAACGGAAAUAUGCAAAUAUAUGCUAGAACGCACCAAUAGGCUCUCGCUAUCUCGUGCUUGGCUCUGCCCACCUUGCUUAUUCUGCCCACUCUGAAUUAAUUUUCUCCCAUUGGAAAUGACAGGCUGUGGUCUAUCUUGGGUUAGUUAUAAAAAAUCUUUGGUUUAAGUGCCUUCAAAAAUAUGCCAUUCAUAUUUAUCUCUAUAGGCACUAAAGCGGCCAGAUCGUACACUUCCGGAAACACCAGGAUGUUCUUCUGUCCAGGAAAAGCGUGAAAAUAUCUACAACCUGUGCGAACAACGCAACGUGUAGCUAUUUAGGAUUUUAAAGGCGUUCCAGUUAAUCAGCGAGAUGCUUUGGAGUGUAUGGUAGCUGUUUACAUUGCCCUUAUCCUCGCUCUUUUGGUCACGUUUGUGUAUGUUGCACUAACUCGCUGUAUUAUUGAAGCUUGUUGGCUGCGUCACCAUCGCUGCCUGGAUUGGUCACGGGGCCCUGGAGAAGGAGUGGCCUGAGGUCAAACCCUAAAGCACCAGAGCCUGGUCAUGAUGGACCAUAAGAGAGCACUCACCAUUUCACUGGCCGUUGACAAGGUGGAUAACUCUCAAAUGGGAAGUCCACUAAAAAUUCCCAAGAUCCUUCUUUCUUCAGAGUUGAGAUGUGGGAAUGAAGAGUCACAGAUUCACUGGACCCAGAUUGCUGGAAACGGAAUCAAACUCCAAAAGUCUUGUCAGCAGAAUGGAUCCAUCUCUUUGGAUCACGGCCAAGCGGCUUUAGCCCAAGCGGCAAUGAACUGGUGAGGAGCAGUAUUUAUGGAGCCACAGGUGGAGUUAUGUUAGGAAGCAAACCUAAUUAGCCUGGUUAGGUUAGACUUGUUGACGGUUCAUAGAUGAUCUUGCUCCAUAACACGUCAGUUAUUAAAGCUGCAAUAUGUCACUUUUUGGGCGACCUGACCAAAUUCACAUGUAAAUAUGUUAUAGAUCUGUCAUUCUCAUUGAAAUGAACUCUAAGAAGCAGUAGAUUUGUUCUUUGUACGUCAUUUCUAUGCUUCCUGUUCUGAAGUUUAGUUUUUGCGUCUUACUUUCGGUUUUGUACACCAGCUUCAAACAGCUGAAAAUACAAUAUUUUUGGUUAUGGAAAAUAUAUUUCACAUCGGUUUAGAAUGUACAAUGAUUUUCUACACCAUACUUGCUUGUUUUGUCACAAACUGAAAUUAGAAUUUUAGCAACCAGAAAAUGGGAGGGCGAAUUCUGCAUAGUAUAUCUUUGAGACAGCCUUUGUCUUUAUCUGUGAAUUUAUUCGGUCCAUUUGUACGGUAAGGAGGAAUUAAUCCACUGUGUCAUUGAGUGCAGUUUUCCGAACAUUCACCAGAUGGAGCUCUUACCCUAAGCACUUUUCUCAGGUACAAGUGCAUUCAGAAAGUGUUCAUACCCCUUGACUUUUUCCACAUUUUGUUAUGUUACAGCCUUAUUAUAAAAUUUAGUAAAUAGUCCCCCUCCCCUCACCAAUGUAUACACAAUACCCCAUAAUGACAAAGCAACAGGUUUUUAGAAACUUUUACAAAUUUAUUAAAAGUAAAAAAUGGAAAUAUCACAUUUGCAUAAGUAUUCAGACCCUUUACUUAGUACUUUGUUGAAGCACCUUUUACAGCGAUUACAGCCUCGAGUCAUCUUGGGUAUGACGCUACAAGCUUGGUACACCUGUAUUUGAGGAGUUUCUCCCAUUCUUCUCUGCUGAUCCUCUCAAGCUCUGUCAGGUUGGAUGGGGAGCGUCGCUGCACAGCUAUUUUCAGGUCACUCCAGAGAUGUUUGAUCAGGUUCAAGUCCGGGUUCUGCCUGGGCCACUCAAGGACAUUUAGAAACUUGUCCCAAAACCACUAAUGUGUUGUCUUGGCUGUGUGCUUAGGGUCGUUGUCCUGUUGGAAGGUGAACCUUUGCCCCCAGUCUUGGGUCCUGAGUGCUCUGGAGCAGGUUUUCAUCAAGGAUCUCUUUGUACUUUGCUCUGUUUGUCUUUCCCUCAAUCCUCACUAGUCUCCCUGUCCCUGACGCUGAAAAACAUCCCCACAGCAUGAUGCUGCCACCACCAUGAUUCACCAUAGGGAUGGUGCCAGGUUUCCUUUCUCCUAGACUGGGAGGAUACUCGGUCUAGGAGAAAGAGUUAAAUAUCAGUGCUUGUGUGAAAUGUGUUUUGUCUGAAUCCAGCUGUAUCAAACCUUUGGGAAGAAUUAAACUUGGUUAAGCUUC
This is a long non-coding RNA of Oncorhynchus tshawytscha (Chinook salmon), 3692 nucleotides long. The record is from Ensembl. NCBI's taxonomy places the organism in Eukaryota, Metazoa, Chordata, Actinopteri, Salmoniformes, Salmonidae.